Molecule: long non-coding RNA, 2593 nt
Organism: Peromyscus californicus insignis
Lineage: Eukaryota; Metazoa; Chordata; Mammalia; Rodentia; Cricetidae
Exons: 3
Source: RefSeq, a predicted model, not a curated record
CUUGCCUUUUGCAAGGUGACAAGCACUGAGGGCAGCUUCUACUCGUUUGCGAUCAGCAGGAAACAUCUGGAAAAAACUGAGGGAGCAAAGAAAAGGACCAGGCAGCAGAAGAGUCAUGCCUAGGCAGGGAAGGCUCAGGGAGCUGGGAGGCAGCUCAGAGGAAACUCAAGAGACUCACUUCUUCACAGGGAUCUUCCCUUCAGGGUUGAGCUGCAUCUUAAGCUUCACCAGGCUGAGGGGAUGGACGGGUCAUGGCUCCAUCAAAAGACAGAAUCCCUCUCCAAGAUUCCUUGCUACCAUCCUGGAAAGCUUGGCCAGUGAGAGCUGAGAGCCUGGGUUGUCACCUGCACAGUCAAGGCCCUGCACACACAGCAGCGGAUCUGCUCCUCAGAAGCUCUGCCAUCCAACCGGGAAUUCAGCCUCAGAAAUUCAGCAGGUGCCAGGUAGGCUGCCUCUGAGUGCAUGGUGUGACUGUAUGGGAUGAGCCUGCAUCCUCAGAACUUGUGAGUAUUUGCUGGACCCAAAGUGGACUCAAGGGUGAGGGAUGAUGGGCGAAGGGCCCAGUGCUUCAGGAAGAAGAAACUGGGAGUAACAGGGAGCUGAAGAAGUAAUUGUGAGUGAUCCCCUGAAUAGAGGCAUUGGGAGAUUUCAAGCAAGUGAGCCCCAAGACAGGAAGGAGGGUGUCCCCCAAAAUCAUCAAAAAGACCACCAGAGGAAGAAUAGGUUUUAAGGUCUGUCAGACUUAGAAAUUCCAAGCCAGCUGUUGACAGCACGUAUUCAAGAAUGAACUGCCACACCUCCCUGUGCCCCACUUAGAAGGACCUAGAAAAGAAAGAGCUGAGAACACCACCAUCGGCCCUUCCUCGGGAGCCUGCACCUGUCCUAGGCCUGGGAGGACAGCAAAGCACAAUGCUGAAGCAAGGCUGGAGUUUCACUUCUAACUUGUUUCUAGAACAGGACUGGGUUUUGUGGGGACUGUGGGACCAUUGUCCAAAGGUGAAGGUCAUGUCUGAUAGCUUGCAGAGUUUCUUCCCAUAGCUAGGAGAGGUUUUCCCUCUAAGGAUGUUUUAAAGGGGCUGUGGGAGACUAAACAGAGUCAGCUUUGGCUGUAUCCUUUGCACUACAGUGAUUAAUAUAGUGGGACACAUCCCUGUCACCUACUAACCCGACCCAAAGCAGCCCAAGAGCAGAACCUGGCUCAUAGAUCACGUGUCCUGUGACCAGGCUUGGGACAUUCCUGCUCAUGCGAGUCAGGAUCCAGGGAUCACACAGUGCUCUGGCUUGGGGAGGUGAAUGGGUCAACAACAGGUUGAAGAGAGAGCCACACAGCGUGUCUACCUCGGGUGACCCACUGCCCGCUCAGGUUAUACACACUGCCCAGAGGAACUGAGAGCAGCCACUUCAGUUUUCACUGUGAGUCAUUUCCCUCUUUCCAGGGGCUCCUAAGACAUGCCCCAUCAUCACCUCCAUGCCACCACCAUGCCCAUCACCUCCGUGUCACCACCAUGCUAGCACCGUGCCACACCAACCAAAACAGAAAGCAUCUACUCCCAGGGCCUCACUCCCACAGUCUGGGCAGCCAGAUGCGUUGACCUAGCGUAGCCCCAAAGGGUCUAGACUCAGACUCCCCUCGUUGCCCAGAGAAACAAGACAAGCCAAUUCAGGGAGCUGAAGUAAUACUUGUAGGUAACCUCCUGAAUGCAAUGUGCUGUUGGAAACCCCAAGCCUUCCUAAGGCCAGUCUAGAGUUCUCUUAAGGAGGCCUAGCCUCCCUGAAGGACAGUCCUCAUUUUAUUCUUCCUAGACCAAGAGAUUCUGUGGUUAAGGGCAGUGUUUUCAGGGCCCAGAAGGACCAGAGACUGUCUAGGAAGGAGCAGACUCCUCGGACUGGGGUACAGUGCUGUUCUUCCUGGCAGACAGGUUGGCAGGUAGUAGCAAGUAGAAGGCUGAGCUGAGGUGAACCACCAAGGGGAAGCAGAAGUCAGCAGGUUCCUUCCCAGGCCCCAGAAGCUUGAACCUCCCUCCAGUUUUCAACUGGAUCCCCAGCCCUUUCGUGACUGCCCCCACAGUCAUAGCUCGAGGGAGAACAUGGCUUCCCUGGGACAGGAUGCAUCUUGUUCUGUGGACUGGGGUGGUCCAGCUGGUUAUGGGUCUCCUGCCAGAGCAAACUUGGGGAUGUCUGUGCUGGGAAGGGGGGCCUGGCUGACCUCUUUUGUUUGCUUGCCCUAUCUCAGCUGGGGGGUAUGCAUUUCCCCUGCCAACACUGAAACUACUAGAAACAAACCUUUGUCAUCUUCAGGGAUUUGGAAAAGGGCAAAUCAAGUCCAAAGAGAUUACCUUUUCUGAUACUGCGCCCCCCCCCCCCCACACACACAUGCACGCAGCCCACCUCCACCUCCUCAUUCCCAGACGCACCGGCUUCCUCACAGCAGCCAAGGACAAGCACCCUUACCCCAGACUUGUUUAUCUAGCUGUGUGCCAGCUGCCUAACCAAGCCACAUAGGCGCCUGGGUGCUGGGAGACAUAAACCAACCCACCCGCUCUGCCAAGCACCGGGGAGCUACCCAGCACCGGCCACUCCCAGGGCCCGUCCC